Molecule: long non-coding RNA, 2546 nt
Organism: Cavia porcellus (domestic guinea pig)
Lineage: Eukaryota; Metazoa; Chordata; Mammalia; Rodentia; Caviidae
Exons: 3
Source: RefSeq, a predicted model, not a curated record
GGCCCCACCCCUCCGCCCCGGGGGCCGGCGGCUGAGAGCCGGGGUCGCCGCCCGGACAGGGCGGCGCCUGUGUGAGGCCGAGGGUCGGCCCCGGCCUGGCGGGAGGAGGGCCGGGGCGGUGGGGCCGCCUCUCUCGCGGAGCCCGGCGCCACCCGCACGCGGCCCCCAGCCCAGCCUAGCACCCACUUCUCCCCGAGGUUGCUGCGAUUUCAUAACCCCGGGGUUUUGGAGAGAACCCGCUUUUGUUCUUCAGGGGCUGAGGUUGCGAUUUCCCUGCAGGUAUUUGAAGGGCACCUGCUAUGCUAGGGGAACCAGGGUGAGCCAUCAGAUGCACAUCUCUGAGCUCCAGCAGCAUGUACCAGGCAGAUGCAGCCCAGAUGAUGAGAGACACCCGCCAUCAAGAGAAUGCACCCUGAGUUGAACCCAGCUACACACUUUGGAAACUAUGAAGGCAGAAGGAGGACAGGGAGGUGGGAGAUGGGUGUCAUCUUACACAGUAGUCAGACUGGGGCAGGCCCCUGUGGGAAGGGAGAUUUGAGUGGGGACCUGAGAAAGUGGGGUGUGUAGGGAGAGUAGGGGUGGUGGAGGGAACGGCAGGUGCAGAGGCCUGGACCUGGAGUCCAUGAAGCUUCCCCUCUUCCUGAGGGGAAGAGAGGGGCAUAAAGCCUGGGCAGCUCUGGCAAGUCUGAAUGUGCUAUCUGGAAGUGUGGCCCCAUCUUGCCAGCGGCCUGAGAAUGGAGCCCCCUGGCAGAGCUGGAAGGAGCAGGACCCUGGUAUUCCCAGGACGUUGUUGACUGCCUGCGUCUCCUGAUUCUGGGGCUCACUGCUUACUGGUCGUUGGAGUUUUGUUUCUUGUCCUCAGAGGCAGCCUAACAUAGGUCAUUAUCUCCCCAAAUCCGGUCAUCUCAGCUGGCAAGUUACAUUAUUGGGCUCUUGAGAAUUCUUCACAUCCAGGUUAUAUAGAGAUUAAAAAUUUCCUUAUUUUACUUUAGUGCUUUGUCCCUAAUGGGUGCAGUAGGCUGUGUCAGUGGCAGGAAACCCAAUUAGCAAUGUGGAUUCUUCGGUGCUCUAGAGUGGGAGGUCUGAGGGAUGUGUUUUUCUGAAGGAUCUGGGCACUCUCUGUCCUGCAUAGCUGUCCUCGAUUGCUUGGUUUUUUAUCUGGUGGCUUCAUGACUGUAGGAUGGUUGCCACAGCUCCACACAUCACAUCCUCACGUGCUGAAGCCAAAGGCAGAUAGUAGGAAAUAGAUUGCCAGUCAAGGUGCACUUGUUCUGGUUUGCUUUUUUUCACCAGAGAAGAAAAAUAUUUUUUAGACUAUCUUCCUUCACGCUGUUCUGCACUUCCCUCCUAUCUCAUUGACCAGCACUGGGCUGCACUAGCAAAUGUGCCUAAGCAAGGCUAGAAAAGUAAGUGUCUGCCUUUUUUUUAGCCCCCAUUGUAGUAGUCUAUUCUAUAAGACAGGAUUAAAUUUAACAGCAUAGAACAAAAACCAAAAUGACAGGACAGAGACAUUUCCUGUGUAAUAGAUGUUGGGGAGCAGUCAUCAAUUUGUGGUUGAUACUGGUGGAUCCAUGAAGUUACUAGGGUGCAAGCUUUCUCUCAAUCCCUACUCCUGCAUCCUGGGUGUUCUCCAAGUCCACAGUAAGCUCUGGCCAUUACCAAGGGCUCCCUUUUCUGGAUUUUUUAAGUCUCACGGGGCAAGAACCCAGUCAUAGUCUUAGUUGCUAAGGAAGAUAGGAAAUGAAGUUUUUGUGUGUCAGAAUAGAAGUCAGGAUUUUGUUGUUAGGGAAGAUUUGUUUUAUGUUGGAGCCUUGGAAGCAGGCAAAUGUUUGCAGAUGCUUUGUGAAGGACCUGCUCCCCGAGAACCCAGUCAGUAACUAGGAAGGUGGCAGAGCAGGGAUUCCGGAGUGGUGGGAAGGGUAGACUCAGCCUGGCCUGCAGGGGCGCUCCAGACUGAAUUACCCACAGACCUGUGUCCUCCAGGGAGGGGCGUGGCCUUCCGUCCUUCCAUGCCCCUCAGUCACUGACUAAUGCCUCUCCUGAGUGAUACAAGGCAUUUCAGCUUUCAGUGGGUAGUGGAAAGGGGGACAAGAAGAGCUCCCUGGCAAGACUGCCAGAACCUCAGGGUGAAGCAAAGCAUGCCAGGCGACAGAGGCAGAUUCGGGGAAGCAGACCUCUGCAGAGCCCCAGUGGGUUGGCCCAGGGGUGAUGAGAGUGAGGGGAGCAGCGCCCUGGAGCUCACAGACAAGGGAGGAGUUCAUGUGCACUGUGUUUACUUUCUUCCGUGUGGGAAGCCGCCUGAGAUGGCGCCCAUUUCCUGCUUCCGGGUUCUUCCCGGCCUGAACAAGCCCGCCAAAUUGUCAUGUCUGCCCAGUUACCCGUGACGCUAGCCUAUCAGCUUGUUAGACGCGCUUCUCUGUGAUUGGAUACUGCUUCCCCUUAUAAGAGGUUGUUCCUGCCCCCAACGGGCGGAAGAGGAACCAACACUGAGGGUGGCGGACCUUGUUAGGUCCGGUUCGCUGUACGCAAUAAAGUUUGAGAGCUGA